Long non-coding RNA from Pygocentrus nattereri (red-bellied piranha), 746 nucleotides. RefSeq lists it as uncharacterized. The transcript has 3 exons. The record is from RefSeq and is a predicted model, not a curated record. Lineage: Eukaryota; Metazoa; Chordata; Actinopteri; Characiformes; Serrasalmidae.
GCUCUGAGGAGCAUAUUUAGUGCUUAUGAUCUUCUGGAGUAAUGUGAUGUUAACCACAGAUGUACUGUUGCACUUUGAGCCCUCCCUGUGUUUCUUCGUAUUCAUGUUUCACAUUUGAAGACAUCCCACCAACACCACUGAAUCUGGCUGAGAAAGAGAGUGAACCGGACAUUGCAGACUUUGGUCUUCAUUCACCAUGCUGAGAAGACCAACUGAGAAGACCAGAGUUCCCGUGUUCAUUUCAGCCCGGCAAGGUUUGCCAUUGUGCUGGAAGGUGAUAUUGUCCUGAAUGACCUUUCGUAUUUGGCUGAUGCUUUUCUCAUGUUAGUUGGUUUAAUGUAUGCGUUAAACAUCAGCUAUCCAAAAGAACUGACCCACACCUUCAACUUCAUUUAGAAAGCCCUCAUGGGCUUGGAUGACUUUAAACCACUAGCUCCCAGGCUGCUAAAUCUAAAAAAUGAUCUGCUAGGGAGGGUGGAAUUGGCAAAUGAUUCGGUCCCUCUUGAUGGGACCUUUGUAGGUCUUGCAUUUUGUAAAUGUCUGUUGAUUCAUCACCUUUCUGUGCUCCUGUUUGUUAAACCUGCUGUUGUGUUAAGUUUGUUUUUGUUGUGUUGGAAAUUCACAAAUAUGUUCAGAAAAUGAGCUGGUUUGUGCUGUUUAAAGUGUGUUUAUUUAUUUAUUUAUUUUAUUGUUGCAGUGGAACAGGCCAUUGGACACAGAACUGUUGCUGCACCAGUGCAUGUUUA